CUUGUUGUUAUUGAAACAUUACAAGAACAGGAAUUCAUCAGCGAGAACAUACGACACUACUACAGUAAGUUUCAUGGAUUCUGGAUUGGGUUAUGACAAGAUGCUGACCAAAACUGGGUAUGGGUUGAUGGACAUAAAGACACUUUAGGGUAUUGGAUAAAUGAGCCGUUUGGUCCCUCUGGUUCAAAUGUGCUGAUGAUUCCUGGGAGGCCUCCAAACAGCAGUUGGGAUAAAGCAGAAGACAAUAUGAGAGACAAAUUCAUCUGUGAGACUGAACCCCUGAUCAAGUCCUUCAAUUAGAUCUGUGGUUUCACUUGUUACUUUAAUAUGAAUAUGUCUUAUCACAGCCAGACAUAUAUUAAACCAAUACAAUUUUCUAUUCUUGUCUUAAUAUCUCGCUAUCAUGAAUAUCUUGCUGUAGGAGAUCAUUUCUGCUAG
This is a long non-coding RNA of Sphaeramia orbicularis (orbiculate cardinalfish), 438 nucleotides long. RefSeq lists it as uncharacterized. The transcript is spliced from 3 exons. NCBI's taxonomy places the organism in Eukaryota, Metazoa, Chordata, Actinopteri, Kurtiformes, Apogonidae. The record is from RefSeq and is a predicted model, not a curated record.